Molecule: transfer RNA, 81 nt
Filed under: Tupiella akineta
Lineage: Eukaryota; Viridiplantae; Chlorophyta; Ulvophyceae; Ulotrichales; Tupiellaceae
Description: tRNA-Tyr
Rfam family: tRNA
About the family: Transfer RNA (tRNA) molecules are approximately 80 nucleotides in length.
Source: RNAcentral
GGAGCUGAAGCCUAAUGGUUUGGCGGUAGAUUGUAAAUCUAUUAACUUUUGUUAUUGGGGGUUCGAGUCCCUCCAGCUUCA